This 542-nucleotide ribosomal RNA is filed under the name Paraplagusia japonica (black cow-tongue). RNAcentral's name for it is "partial 12S rRNA". It matches the Rfam family "Bacterial small subunit ribosomal RNA", at positions 194 to 991 of the family's 1533-position model. Lineage: Eukaryota; Metazoa; Chordata; Actinopteri; Pleuronectiformes; Cynoglossidae. The record is from RNAcentral.
CCCCCAGUGAAAAUGCCCCCAACUCCUGAAAUGAGACGGGGAGCCGGUAUCAGGCACACUAAAAGUAGCCCAUGACACCUUGUUUAGCCACACCCCCAAGGGUAUUCAGCAGUGAUUAACUUUAAGCAAUAAGUGUAAACUUGACUUAGUAAUGACUAAUUUUAAGGCCGGUAAAAUUCGUGCCAGCAACCGCGGUUAUACGAAAGGCCUAAGUGGAUGGAUUGCGGCGUAAAGGGUGGUUAGGGAACCCUAUCACUAAAGUUAAACCCCCUCUUGGCAGUUUUAAGCUUAUGAGGAUGAGAAACUCACCCACGAAAGUGACUUUACCCUCCUGACCCCACGAAAGCUAGGGAGCAAACUGGGAUUAGAUACCCCACUAUGCCUAGUUGUAAACAAUGAUAUAAUAACAUCAAAUUAUCCGCCAGGGUAUUACGAACAUUAGUUUAAAACCCAAAGGAUCUGGCGGUGCUUAAUACCCAUCUAGAGGAGCCUGUUCUAUAACCGAUAACCCCCGUUAAACCUCACCCCCUUUUGCAACUCCU